Ictidomys tridecemlineatus (thirteen-lined ground squirrel) is the source of this 3574-nucleotide non-coding RNA. The record is from RefSeq and is a predicted model, not a curated record. NCBI's taxonomy places the organism in Eukaryota, Metazoa, Chordata, Mammalia, Rodentia, Sciuridae.
UCCGCGGUGACGUAGGCCAGGGGAGCCGUGGCCUGCGGAGGGGCAAUACUAUCUUCUCCCACCAGGCUCUUGGCCAUAUUGUUCUGCUUUUCCGCGUGAUAACUCCGCAGUGGAGGUGGAUUCUGGCCAAGACGCCAACGUGGCUCUGCUUAACAAUCGGCGCCGCAAUCCGGGCGGGUUACCUUUCGCCGUGGCAUUUCUCCAUGCCCGGCGCUCGCUGCUCUGCUCGUGCAGCCCGAGCCCUCCCCAGCUAGUGGCAUUUACAACGGAAACUCCUUCAAUAUAGACGAGCUGCAAAGGGCGGUGCUGGUGCCCUGGCGGAGCUGGAAGUCGUCGGUGCGGGGCCGUUCUGCCUGUGUGAGGUUCUCACGUGCGAGUGUGUGUUUCACGGGAGGAGAGGGGAGCAGUGGAGGGAAGAAGAUGAAGACGAGGAAGGAUGCGCGGAUCACGAAAUGUAAGCGCGGCGCGACUAACGAUCCGCACCAAUUUGGAGAGCAGGCAUGUGAAAGGUCAUGGACAAUUGUUGCUGGUUUCAGCCUGCGUGCCUAAGUGGGGUGUAUUCUUGAGCAAUCCCAUUUAAGUCUGAUUCACUGAAAAGUAUUGAAGUGCCCACAAUUCAUCACAAUACACAGUGAAAACUCACAAAUGAGAGUGUUGCCCAAUUCAACUAUUAACAUAUAAGUGAUGGACUGACGUAGUCAUGAAAUCGGUACCAUGCAUCUCUACACACAUCACCUCUUAUGAAGCUGUGCCAGACUCUUCAUGUUGGCACCCAGAAGCUUGCCAAGGAGCCUUCUCUUGGGAUUUACGCACAGGACAAGUCAGGGUCCAGCUGCUGUGGUUUGACUUAGGGUUGGGACUUUCAUGUUCUUGUAGCACUUGUGGAAAUUUGUUUGCCUCUCUGCAGAAGGAAGUCUGAAGCUACCUUCAGAGGUAGCCACCUGAAGAUUCUGUGAAAAAUGUAUCCCUUUGCUGGAAUGAAAUACCUUGCUCCUUUUUCCCCAUGGUGAAAAUCAUAAGAAUUUUCCCAGAGAAUCAGCAUUUUUAACAAUCUGUCCUUGUUUUCAAUAUAGAAAAAAAAAACUGCAUGACAACACACCAUUCUUACUGCCGCGCAGGUUUUCUUCUACUGAUUCAAGCAACGACGUCACGUUUUCUCACCAUUUGCAGUUUUUGGUAACUCCAUCAGGACUUCACAGCAGGUAGACAACCCUCAAAUCUGUUCUUAAUUUCAACUUAACUAAAAGACUCUCAGCAACAGCUGCCUUCAGAAUAACUGGUACAGAAUUCCACAGAUGUGGUUCAUAAUAGUUUAAAGAAUAAAAGGAACUAGGCCCCAGAGCAGAAUUCACUUAAGGAGAGACAAAUUCAAUAAGGGUUUCUCUUUUGAAAGAUUUCCCAUGUCUGGGAAGAGAGGGGCCUGCCUCCCUUACUCCCUUUUCUCACAGUCCCCGUUACAUUAAUUACUUUACCUACAGGUUGUGACCUGUUAACGCCCCGCAUUUACAACAGCAAGACCACUGGCUCCCUCAGCCCUCCGGGCUCAAGGUGUCUCCCCAGCAUCACUGAGUGUGUGUGCACAUUUAUUUAAACUUCUCUAGCAGAACUGAGAGAGAACAAAUGAGGGAGCCGGCAGCCUGUCUUCCGCCGUGGGCAGGCCAUGUCCGCCUGCAACGAGGCCAACAGGGAAGACGUGCUGAAGACUUUCGCGUGAAAUCACACGGACACGUGCAGGCCAGCUACAAGGAGGGCAGAAGGGCUCUCCGGAAGCGAUAGGAGUGAUUGGACGGGUGGUCAUGAUCAGGGAGUCAGACACCGUCAGUGGAGAGGCUAGGUACCAUUUAGGAAAGGACUUCUUUUUUUUUUUUUUUUUUUUUUUUGUGGUGCUGGGGAUUGAAACUGAACCCAGUGCCUUGUGUCCAUGAGGCAAGCACUCUACCAAAUGAGCUCUAUCCCCAGACCCUGGACUUUUUUAAUACACAUAACAAAAUGUACCAUUUUAACCAUUUUAAAGUAUACAAUGCAGCAUCAUUAGGUACUUUCACAGAGAACUUCAUCUUUCCAAACCAGCUGCACCUGAAACACCACCUUCCUGCUCUCCAUCCCCUGCCCCUGGGGUCCAGGGGAGCGCUCCCUCUCUCCCUUCCAUCUUCCUUCUGUGAGUUUUACUCUUCUAGGGACCUCAAUAAGUGAAGUCCUGCAGCACUUGUCCUGUGUCACUGGCCCAGCAUCAUUUCACUCAGGAUGACAUCCUCAAGGUUCACCCAUGUUAUAGUAAGUAACUGGACACACACACACACACACACACACACACACACACUUUUUCCCCCUUGAGACAGCACCUGGCUGGGUGGCCCAGGCUCGUUCUCACUCUCAGUCCUCUCACCCCAGCCCCUGGUAGCUGGGAUCAUAGGUGUGUGCCACCUCACUCAGCAGCUGAUGAAAUUUUGCCUCCUUUAAAAAAGACAGAAGUGUGCUAGGGGCGCAGCUCAGCAGUACACCACUUGCCUUGGACGUGUGAUACCCUGGAGUUAACCCAGAGCACUGCAGGAAAAAAGAGGCAGAUUAUAAAUGGAAGCAAGAGCUCCUCCCCUCCAAUAAAAAGAAAAAGAUAAAAAAUCUUAUAAACUAGGCACUGAGGCAGGAGGGUCACAAGCUCAUGGCGUCUCAGCAACUUAGUGACACCCUGUCUCAACAUAAAAAAAAAAUUUUUUUGUUAAAGAACUGGGGCAUAUCACUCAGUGCUAAAGCAUCCUGGGUUCAAUUUCCAGUACCAAUGAAAAACAAGCAAGCAAACAAAGACCUUAUUAAUGGAAUAGCUAUAAUCUUACCAAAAAUAAUCCUCAAGAAUUUUUCUGCUGCUCCCUGAAAUGGUUGGUUCCUUAUCCAGAUGCUCAGUGGAUGCCCACCUUACUUCAGGGUUCAGCAGAAAUCUGAUAAGCCCCACUUUCUUCCCUGGUGGAAGCCAGCACUUGGGGAACCGCGUGGAGCCAGCCUGAGCCAGGCUUUGAGAUGAGUCUCUCCGGGUAGCAUUUUCAGAAUUCAUCGAUGACUUACAACCAGGCUACAACCAAAAAGCAAAACAAAAGAGGAAACAAAAUGUCAAGGCAUAUUUAAAAAUCAGAAAAUGAAGGCCAAUGUAGAGAAAUAGAAGAGCUGAUCUGCCCUGCGCUGGAGCCCGGCUGGUCGGUGCAGAGCCUCCUCCAAGACCAUGUGUCUCUCUGGAAACUGGCGCAGGCCAGGUCUCUGAGGCCACCUGUGGGUGCCCUUUGGGAAGCAGGUCCCCAGUGUGCCACGACAGAUGGGAGCCAAGUGCCGCGUGGAGUUUUGUCAAGAGACUGGUGGUUUGCUCUCCAGUUCUGCAGCUCGUUGCGGGGUCUCACAAUGGCUGUGCUUCUGUGUUAGGGUGAGGAAAUGCUGUUAAACAGUCGCACACCAAAAAAUCAAACAUGUCACACAAGUUGCGGUGUCCCACGACAGUCAUUCAUUCACCCCACACUGACUGCCAGGCACCAGAUCCAGUGCUCAUUUUAAAAAGAAUUUAUUAAAGGCUUCCAUGUGGCAUCUGUGUUAA